UCCCAACCUACCGGACCAGUUUCUAGCAAU
This 30-nucleotide non-coding RNA is filed under the name Rattus norvegicus (Norway rat). The record is from RNAcentral. Lineage: Eukaryota; Metazoa; Chordata; Mammalia; Rodentia; Muridae.